UGGGGAAUAUUGCACAAUGGGCGCAAGCCUGAUGCAGCCAUGCCGCGUGUAUGAAGAAGGCCUUCGGGUUGUAAAGUACUUUCAGCGGGGAGGAAGGGAGUAAAGUUAAUACCUUUGCUCAUUGACGUUACCCGCAGAAGAAGCACCGGCUAACUCCGUGCCAGCAGCCGCGGUAAUACGGAGGGUGCAAGCGUUAAUCGGAAUUACUGGGCGUAAAGCGCACGCAGGCGGUUUGUUAAGUCAGAUGUGAAAUCCCCGGGCUCAACCUGGGAACUGCAUUUGAUACUGGCAAGCUUGAGUCUCGUAGAGGGGGGUAGAAUUCCAGGUGUAGCGGUGAAAUGCGUAGAGAUCUGGAGGAAUACCGGUGGCGAAGG
This 374-nucleotide ribosomal RNA is filed under the name uncultured bacterium. Its description in RNAcentral is "bacterial SSU rRNA". It matches the Rfam family "Bacterial small subunit ribosomal RNA", at positions 355 to 721 of the family's 1533-position model. The record is from RNAcentral.